ACAAUGGGCGCAAGCCUGAUGGAGCAACACCGCGUGAGUGAAGAAGGGUUUCGGCUCGUAAAGCUCUGUUGUUAAAGAAGAACACGUAUGAGAGUAACUGUUCAUACGUUGACGGUAUUUAACCAGAAAGUCACGGCUAACUACGUGCCAGCAGCCGCGGUAAUACGUAGGUGGCAAGCGUUAUCCGGAUUUAUUGGGCGUAAAGAGAGUGCAGGCGGUUUUCUAAGUCUGAUGUGAAAGCCUUCGGCUUAACCGGAGAAGUGCAUCGGAAACUGGAUAACUUGAGUGCAGAAGAGGGUAGUGGAACUCCAUGUGUAGCGGUGGAAUGUGUAGAUAUAUGGAAGAACACCAGUGGCGAAGGCGGCUACCUGGUCUGCAACUGACGCUGAGACUCGAAAGCAUGGGUAGCGAACAGGAUUAGAUACCCUGGUAG
Molecule: ribosomal RNA, 433 nt
Filed under: uncultured bacterium
Lineage: Bacteria
Description: bacterial SSU rRNA
Rfam family: Bacterial small subunit ribosomal RNA
Source: RNAcentral